This 253-nucleotide ribosomal RNA is filed under the name uncultured bacterium. RNAcentral describes it as "partial 16S ribosomal RNA". It matches the Rfam family "Bacterial small subunit ribosomal RNA", at positions 524 to 776 of the family's 1533-position model. The record is from RNAcentral.
UACAGAGGGUGCAAGCGUUGUUCGGAAUUAUUGGGCGUAAAGCGCGUGUAGGCGGCUGACUAAGUCCGCUCUGAAAGCCCGGGGCUCAACCCCGGGAGGCGGGUGGAUACUGGUCAGCUCGAGUCCGGAAGAGGAGUGUGGAAUUCCUGGUGUAGCGGUGAAAUGCGCAGAUAUCAGGAGGAACACCAAUGGCGAAGGCAGCACUCUGGGACGGUACUGACGCUGAGACGCGAAAGCGUGGGGAGCAAACAGG